UACGGAGGGGGCGAGCGUUAUUCGGAAUUAUUGGGCGUAAAGGGCGCGUAGGCGGCCUGUUAAGUCGGACGUGAAAUCCCUCGGCUCAACCGGGGAACUGCGUCCGAUACUGGCGGGCUUGAAUUCGGGAGAGGGAUGUGGAAUUCCAGGUGUAGCGGUGAAAUGCGUAGAUAUCUGGAGGAACACCGGUGGCGAAGGCGGCAUCCUGGACCGACAUUGACGCUGAGGCGCGAAAGCCAGGGGAGCAAACGGG
This 253-nucleotide ribosomal RNA is filed under the name uncultured bacterium. RNAcentral describes it as "partial 16S ribosomal RNA". It matches the Rfam family "Bacterial small subunit ribosomal RNA", at positions 524 to 776 of the family's 1533-position model. The record is from RNAcentral.